UCGAUAAAAAAUUUUAUUAUAAUUAAAGAAUUUUUAACAUUUUCAUGAAUCUAUCUGAAGUCAAUAGACUUCUCCGAUAUACCAAAGCUAGCUUGUAAUGUUAAACAAAAACUUGGAUAAACAAUACAACUGAGAGAGCUUUCAUAAGUGAUGGUGACGUCUACCACCGUACAAAGUCGUAUUCGUUGUUUUGAUCUAGCAGUGGCAAUGGUUGAUCCAAUAAAUGAUCAAAAAGUAAAUCAUUAUGAACUGGAGCUUUCUCUGCCACUUGGUGCUGCAAAAUCAGAUGUGAAGGGGAAGCAAGGUUUAU
This 310-nucleotide long non-coding RNA is filed under the name Jatropha curcas. Its description in RNAcentral is "long non-coding RNA (JCUR_LNC000086)". Lineage: Eukaryota; Viridiplantae; Streptophyta; Magnoliopsida; Malpighiales; Euphorbiaceae. The record is from RNAcentral.